CAUGUCCUUUUGAUUAUUAUUUAAGGUCUAAUCUGCUCAAUGAGGAGUUAAAUUGCCGCGGUAUUUUGACCGUGCGAAGGUAGCAUAAUAAUUAGUUUUUUUAUUGAAAGCUGGAAUGAAUGAUUGGACGAGAAAACAACUGUCUCUGUAAUAUUUUUAUUGAAUUUAACUUUUAAGUAAAAAGGCUUAAAUGUUUCUAAAAGACGAGAAGACCCUAUAGAGUUUUACAUUUUAUUUAUAAUUAGUUUUUGGUAUUUAUUGUUUUUAUAAUUUAAUUUGUUUGGUUGGGGUGACUAGAAGAUUAGAAAAACUCUUCUAAUAUAUUGUUACUUAUUAGUAAAUAAAAAAUCUGGAGUUUUCAAGUUUAAUAUAAAUUACCUUAGGGAUAACAGCGUAAUUUCUCUUUAGAGUUCUUAUUGGAAGGGGAGUUUGCGACCUCGAUGUUGGAUUAAAAUUAAUGUUGGGUGCAGUAGCUCAAUUAUUAGGUCUGUUCGACCUUUAAAAUUUUACAUGAUCUGAGU
Molecule: ribosomal RNA, 521 nt
Filed under: Conoderus sp. NLG
Lineage: Eukaryota; Metazoa; Arthropoda; Insecta; Coleoptera; Elateridae
Description: partial 16S ribosomal RNA
Rfam family: Bacterial large subunit ribosomal RNA
Source: RNAcentral